Molecule: ribosomal RNA, 303 nt
Filed under: uncultured bacterium
Lineage: Bacteria
Description: partial 16S ribosomal RNA
Rfam family: Bacterial small subunit ribosomal RNA
Source: RNAcentral
AGCAGUAGCCGCGGUAAUACGUAGGUGGCAAGCGUUGUCCGGAAUUAUUGGGCGUAAAGGGCUCGCAGGCGGUUUCUUAAGUCUGAUGUGAAAGCCCCCGGCUCAACCGGGGAGGGUCAUUGGAAACUGGGAAACUUGAGUGCAGAAGAGGAGAGUGGAAUUCCACGUGUAGCGGUGAAAUGCGUAGAGAUGUGGAGGAACACCAGUGGCGAAGGCGACUCUCUGGUCUGUAACUGACGCUGAGGAGCGAAAGCGUGGGGAGCGAACAGGAUUAGAUACCCGCGUAGUCCCUGUCUCUUAUAC